UCCCAAUUCAGCUGAAUCUCACAUCCCUACACGCACCUGCUCAAAAUAAACAGCUGCACGGUUUGUGAGGAACGUCAUGUCACCAUCGUACAGCUCCAGGGCCCUGUUGUAGUGCGCAAUGGCAGCAUCGAAGUCCUUCUUCUUGUACGCCUCGUUGCCCGCCUCCUUCGCCUUGAAGGCCUCCGCCUUCCGAGCCGCCGCCUCGCGCUCAUCAUCCGCCAUUUCCACGUCCGCGGGCUCGGGCUCCCGCGGCACCGGUUUGGCGUGCUCUGAGGACUUGGCGGGCUCCGGUUUGACUGCCUGUUGAGAGGUGUUGAGCGUUGGGGUGGGUGCGCUAUACUUCGUGGAUCAACUUGACUACGUGUGUUUCUCACGUGACUUGACAUCCAAGCCGCGAGGGAGGGAAACCCCGGGGUAGGCAUUUGGCGAAAGACAGGUCAGUGUCGGUGUGCGUGCGGUGUUGUGCUAAAGCUUGCACGGAUGCGAGGUGACGUAAUGUACUUCGGGUCAACGACGUAGAGCGCAACGCCAUCAGCUUUGUAAUGAGACUCAGAUGCAGCGCAGAUGCGCGGCGUGAAGUGAAGGCAGGAAGAGGACAGCAGCGGGUGGAAGGUGCGGCGGCAGAGACUUUAGGUAAAUCAAUAUCGAUCUCCUUGCCACUUCCCAAUCGCUCACCUCUGCACGGGCGUGAGCCGCACCGCCGUUGGCAGAGGAGUGCGCCUCGUCCGAGGCUUCAGGUCCCCGGCUCAUCUUGAGCCCCAGCGCAAUCUCCAACAGCUGUGUACAGGAAGUUGAUGUGAGGCAGGGUUAGCGUAGGGUAGGGGCAACGGGCGGCCACACCAUUCUGGCACAAUAUAAAUGUGUGUGUGAUUCAAGUGGUGGCGGCAGUGGUGGUGCAGCAGCUUUGAGAGCGUUCGUGCAAAAGCCGCAUAAGCGGCGGUUAGUCCGAGCACGCAGGUUGGGAGCUGGGUCCUGUGGACACCCACUUGCAGUACGAAAGCAAGUGCUCUGCGUGUGUUAUGGAUGGCUGGGUAAUAGCUCUUUGCUACCAAAUUGAAUGUGCUUCAAACCAUUGUGCCUUUCACGGCUACCUCAUACGCAUAACUCUCCUCUCCCCACGCCGCCUCCGCAUUUGCCACAUGCCCAUUAACAACGUUCACCUUUCAUCUCCGGCGGUCCCGUCCCUACUCUUGUCCGCAAAAUCUGCAAUUCCCCCUUGCUAUGUAAGAGUUUCACUCGUCUGCGAUUGACUUGUCCCUUCCCCCUAUCUCUUUCCGUCAACCUCCCACCCCACCAGCUGCAUCCGCGGGUCCUGCAGGUACAUGUUGAUGCGGCUGGGGUCCGCCUGCACAUCCGCAAACAUCCGCAUGAAGUCGGGCUGCUCCAGCAGCGCCUUGCCCCGUGGGUCCGUUGCGAGCUUCAAAAUGACCUCUGGCGAUGCAAAGGGACUACGUGGCCGGGCCGCGGCAGAACGCGCCUCCUCGAGCCCCAACUUGAGCUGCUCGUUGGCGGGGUCCAA
RNAcentral lists this long non-coding RNA (1519 nucleotides) under Volvox carteri. Its description in RNAcentral is "long non-coding RNA (VCAR_LNC003383)". The record is from RNAcentral. Lineage: Eukaryota; Viridiplantae; Chlorophyta; Chlorophyceae; Chlamydomonadales; Volvocaceae.